GGCGUUCUCACUGCUUGUGCUCAUCGCGGGCUUGUGACAAAGGGCCUACACAUUUCUGAAUGUUGCCACAAAUUCAUCAGUAAAUGGCCAUGGCAGAAGAAGCUGGUCGAGAUUAGCAAGGUUGCAUAUCAUUCACAUCAGCCUGCAAGAAAGUACAAAUCAACCCAAGUUAGCUUGCAACCAUGUUCAUUGCUUGGUACCACACUAAAAUAGCAAGCCAGUAGGUUACAUAUCUAGUAAGGCAUCAAAACAGCUCAUGUCACACAUGUAAUGUCAAGUCAUGAAAUCAACCAAAAGCAUUGGCCUUAGACCUGCAAGCAAUCCAGUCAAGACCAUAACAUCUUUGCAAGGCCAUAUAGCAGGAAGUUGGGAGUAAUUUGCAGAUGUCCUUGGACCAAGCAUCUAACCAAACCCUGGAAAUGCAUGCCCUGCUACUGUAGUGAUCCAUCAUGUCAUAAAAAUCCUGCAUCAACAUGAGCCUACCACCAAACAGCAGCAACAGCCUGCAAAACCAAUUGAUACAUUGCCAUAAACCUCAAACAGAAACAAGGAAAUGAUGCACCAUCAUAUUCCAUCAUCCAAAGGCAUGAGCUAAUGGAUAAAUCUUACCUUUAUCAAGACUUUUGCUUCUGGAAUUCUUGUUCCCAAAGGAUAUAUAUGGCCAAUAGAUGCUGCUGGUUAUUUGCAACCACAUACCACUUUGGUUUCAGAUGCACAUAAAGCGGGGCUUGAAGUUGAUGCAUCAGAUUUUGCAAAUGAUUUUGUAUCAAGCUUUAAUUACAGCUAUGAUCCUCUUGCUGAGUACCUCCAAUUCAUUGAUAACGGUGAUUUCUCUGUUGAUGGUGUGCUGACUGAUUUUCCCAUAACUCCAUCAGAAGCAAUUGAUUGCUUUGCCCGACUAGGCACAAAUGCUACGAGAAGAGAUAAAACCUUGAUUAUCUCAAAAUUUGGAGCAAGUGGAGAUUAUCCAGCUUGUACCAACUUAGCGUAUAACAAUGCCAUAUCAGAUGGUGCGGACGUUCUUGACUAUCCUGUUCAAAUUUCAAAGGACAGAAUACCAUUCUGCUUAAGCUCCAUUGAUCUUCUAGAUAGUACCACAGUUGCUCAAACAAGCUUCAUUGAUUUGGUCACGAGUAUCCCUAAGAUCAAAUCUGGCCGUGGCAUAUUUACGUUCAAAUUGACAUGGGCUGAUAUAAAAGAC
RNAcentral lists this long non-coding RNA (1201 nucleotides) under Lathyrus oleraceus (garden pea). Its description in RNAcentral is "Pisum sativum (pea) long non-coding RNA (PSAT_LNC040051)". The record is from RNAcentral. Lineage: Eukaryota; Viridiplantae; Streptophyta; Magnoliopsida; Fabales; Fabaceae.